Molecule: long non-coding RNA, 443 nt
Organism: Gorilla gorilla gorilla (western lowland gorilla)
Lineage: Eukaryota; Metazoa; Chordata; Mammalia; Primates; Hominidae
Exons: 3
Source: RefSeq, a predicted model, not a curated record
CUGAUUUUCCCUGCAAGGAUUGUCUUAUUUUAAACUUCAAAUUUAGUUGCCUUACUUUAUGUAAGGCAAUUUUGAAUGGGUUUUGAAGUGCAGCUGAAGACUAUUCAUACCUUUCUAAACCUAGAAGGCAGGAGUAGUGAACUAACGAUGGGAAGGUAUCUUAUCUAAGAGGACUACAGGUCUUAACAGCAGCACACAGGGAACUCUCUUUCUUUUGAAAUGUUGCUAGCCAACAUUUAAUAGAAACUUCAGGGUGUAUCCCAGCCUUUCCAGCAUAAGGGGAAAGAGGGCUUGUCAAUGGGGAAUGUCUAAUGUGGAGAACAUGUAGGAGACAGAUGCACCGAGAUACAAAGCCAGCCAUGAACUUGCUGCACAGAGGCCAGAGUGACUGAUUUUCCUUUUGGUUACCCCUCAUUUUCAGAACCAUCUUAUGUAAAACACCC